RNAcentral lists this ribosomal RNA (516 nucleotides) under uncultured bacterium. RNAcentral describes it as "partial 16S ribosomal RNA". It matches the Rfam family "Bacterial small subunit ribosomal RNA", at positions 28 to 523 of the family's 1533-position model. The record is from RNAcentral.
GACGAACGCUGGCGGCAUGCCUAAUACAUGCAAGUCGAGCGGACUUGAUGAGAAGCUUGCUUCUCAGAUAGUUAGCGGCGGACGGGUGAGUAACACGUAGGCAACCUGCCCUCAAGCUUGGGACAACUACCGGAAACGGUAGCUAAUACCGAAUACUUGUUUUCUUCGCCUGAAGGAAACUGGAAAGACGGAGCAAUCUGUCACUUGGGGAUGGGCCUGCGGCGCAUUAGCUAGUUGGUGAGGUAACGGCUCACCAAGGCGACGAUGCGUAGCCGACCUGAGAGGGUGAUCGGCCACACUGGGACUGAGACACGGCCCAGACUCCUACGGGAGGCAGCAGUAGGGAAUCUUCCGCAAUGGGCGAAAGCCUGACGGAGCAAUGCCGCGUGAGUGAUGAAGGUUUUCGGAUCGUAAAGCUCUGUUGCCAGGGAAGAACGCUUGGGAGAGUAACUGCUCCCAAGGUGACGGUACCUGAGAAGAAAGCCCCGGCUAACUACGUGCCAGCAGCCGCCGCCG